GACGAACGCUGGCGGCGUGCCUAAUACAUGCAAGUCGAACGAAUCACUUCGGUGGUUAGUGGCGAACGGGUGAGUAAUACGUAAGCAACCUGCCUAUGGGACUGGGAUAACGUUUGGAAACGGACGCUAAUACCGGAUAGGUAAAGAGGAGGCAUCUCUUCUCUAUUAAAGUUUAGAUACACCGAUAGAUGGGCUUACGGCGCAUUAGCUAGUUGGUGAGGUAACGGCUCACCAAGGCGAUGAUGCGUAGCCGGACUGAGAGGUUGAACGGCCACAUUGGGACUGAGACACGGCCCAAACUCCUACGGGAGGCAGCAGUAGGGAAUUUUCGGCAAUGGGGGAAACCCUGACCGAGCAACGCCGCGUGAGUGAAGACGGCCUCGGUU
RNAcentral lists this ribosomal RNA (386 nucleotides) under uncultured bacterium. RNAcentral's name for it is "bacterial SSU rRNA". It matches the Rfam family "Bacterial small subunit ribosomal RNA", at positions 28 to 424 of the family's 1533-position model. The record is from RNAcentral.